Long non-coding RNA from Acanthopagrus latus (yellowfin seabream), 918 nucleotides. RefSeq lists it as uncharacterized. The transcript has 3 exons. The record is from RefSeq and is a predicted model, not a curated record. Lineage: Eukaryota; Metazoa; Chordata; Actinopteri; Spariformes; Sparidae.
GAAAUCAUGCUCUGGAUCAGUCUGGAGAGGCCUGGUGUGUUUGGAUUGGCAUGGCGGCUGGCAGACGACAGGGGGAGGUGGAGCUGGAAGAGAGUUAUAAAUAAACAUUUCAACAGGGCUGGGGAGAGGUGUCGGCAGGCCUCAGGCCACGGACCUUCCCUGGGCUCGUUGGCGCCCCUCCAGGUCACAUUACAUGAGUAAACUGCAGCACAGCAACACUGUACGUGUGUGUGUGUGACAGAGAGAAAGAGAGGCGAGACCUGAGAAGGUGGGGUGUGUGUUGCUAUAGUAGCAAACUCAAUGAAGGCCUCACUGUGCCAAACUCAAUGCACAGGGAGAACAUACUAUUACAUGAAAACAAAAUGUUCCAUUGACAAUCCCCUUACUGAAGACGUUCUCAGACGUUAGACUGUGAUGAUGAUGAUAAUGAUGAUGAUGAUGAUAAACAACAUUAAUGUCCAAAAUAUUAACAAUUGAAAAAAAAGGUUUGGUUUAAGUGUUCAAACUAUGGAUGUCAGUUGCAUUGAAUUUUGCGUCUGACAGCGUGUCUCCCCUUUUUUUUUUUAUAUGCAAAAUGACAUGAAAUACAAGAGGCCCUUCCCUUUAAGUCUGGCGCUCCACAGACUGAAAAAGCUCCGGCGCCGCUGCGUCAGCUUCUCGGCAAGGUUGUCUGAGUGAAGAGCACACUGGUCUCUCACAGACGGACGCACCUCCGCGCUCGGCUUUGUCGCAGUGCCAGGUUGGAGCACACUGGACUGCAUCUCCCGGUGAGCAUCGAUGAAGUAAAGGCUGUCCAGCCCGACUCCGGCGGUCCAAACUGCUGCGAUAGAGGAGUAAAGGUCACAGGUCACGGGGGAAGAUCUCUGUGAUUGGACACAGGCCUGUUGUAUCAGCGGUGGAGGACACAGUAAAGCUACG